RNAcentral lists this ribosomal RNA (579 nucleotides) under Rhizogeton sterreri. Its description in RNAcentral is "partial 16S ribosomal RNA". It matches the Rfam family "Bacterial large subunit ribosomal RNA", at positions 1833 to 2597 of the family's 2925-position model. The record is from RNAcentral. Lineage: Eukaryota; Metazoa; Cnidaria; Hydrozoa; Anthoathecata; Clavidae.
GCCCUUGAUCUUAUCAAAGGUGUGACCUGCUCAGUGGUUUAUAAUCUCAAUAUAUAAUCUAUAAGUAAUUAAACUAAAAAGACGCAUUAACCUGAGUGUGAUAAUGUAGCGUAAUCACUCGCCAUUUAAUUGGUGGAUAGUAUGAAUGGUUAAACGAGUGUUCCAUUGUUUUUAAUGUAAAUUAAUUAAAAUUCAGAUCUUUGUAAAGACGCAAAGUAAAACUGUAAGACGAGAAGACCCUAUAGAGCUUCACUAUACACUCUUUCUUAAAAAGAAUUAAAAGACAGUGUGGUAGUUUGGUUGGGGCGACCGCCUUUUAAAAACAACAAAGGCCAGCAAACGUAAUAUUUUUAUUUACUGUAUAACCCAUUAGUUUAACAGUUACAAAAGUAGGCUAAAAUGACCCAUUUUAUAAAGCAUAUAAAAUGUUUAAGAAAUAAAAGCUACCUUAGGGAUAACAGGGUAAUUUCUGUAGGGAUUGAGACAAUGCCAGCAGAGCUUGCCACCUCGAUGUUGAAUUAAGGUAUCCUUACGAUUUAGCCAUCGUAAAGGGUAGGUCUGUUCGACCUUUAAAACCUC